Zea mays is the source of this 631-nucleotide RNA transcript. RefSeq lists it as uncharacterized. The transcript has 5 exons. The record is from RefSeq and is marked validated. NCBI's taxonomy places the organism in Eukaryota, Viridiplantae, Streptophyta, Magnoliopsida, Poales, Poaceae.
UCAAUUUUCGGCCCCGUAGACAAAGAGAUACGCGACGCGUGAUGGAUGCGCGUCCAGAUCCAGCGGCCUCAGUCACCAUCACCACCCGCACCACACACGAGCAUACGCGACGACUGACAAGGCGAGGGGAGCACUCGGCGGCGAUGGGCGGCGGCGGCGCACAUGGCGGCACCACCUACAAGGGCUACACCAUCCCGCACAACAAGCGCUGGCACACCGUCGCCGGCAAGGGCCUCUGCGCCGUGAUGUGGUUCUGGGUUUUCUACAGGGCUAAGCAGGAUGGUGCUACGCUCUUGGGUUUGCGUCAUCCUUGGGAUGGACAUGAUGACCACUCUCAUGGUCAUGGACACGGGCAUGAGGCAUCAUCAUCGUCAUCUUCACAUUAAGUUCCUUACUGGCUGCGGACGAUGCUUGGCAUGUUCCAACAGCUAAAGUUUGAUUAAUAUGCUGUGGAAAAGAAUCUGGUGCACGUUGAUGUUCUUUAUGAUCUGUUGUUCAGUACAUUGCUCUGCUUCGUUGCUACGUUAAGAAUAUAUAUAUACUAACAUCAGAAAAAUGUAUGUAUUUUAUGGGCUUAAUAGAUUCAGAACUGGGAAGAUGAAUGGGCAGCUAUGCUGGUGUUUUCCUUUUU